UACAGAGGUCCCGAGCGUUGUUCGGAUUCACUGGGCGUAAAGCGCACGUAGGCGGCUUUCUAAGUCGGGGGUGAAAUCCUGGAGCUCAACUCCAGAACUGCCUUCGAUACUGGAAAGCUCGAGUCCGGGAGAGGUGAGUGGAACUGCGAGUGUAGAGGUGAAAUUCGUAGAUAUUCGCAAGAACACCAGUGGCGAAGGCGGCUCACUGGCCCGGUACUGACGCUGAGGUGCGAAAGCGUGGGGAGCAAACAGG
Molecule: ribosomal RNA, 253 nt
Filed under: uncultured bacterium
Lineage: Bacteria
Description: partial 16S ribosomal RNA
Rfam family: Bacterial small subunit ribosomal RNA
Source: RNAcentral